CCAAAUUCCAUUUUUGCAAUCAAACGGACCCUUAUAAACAUCAUCCAUCUCCAACCAAACUGCCGCUAAGGUAAUCUACAAAUUUCCUAAAGAUAUCUUGCUGGGUCCGAAUGAAACUUGAAGAAUCCAGUACAGUAAUAACCAUGUCGUGUCAACACACUACUCCGUCGGAAUGGAGAGUCCAAGCAUCACAGAUUGAGGCUUAUGCAUCGAGGCGAUUGUGAUUUGUGCCAUUUGUCUUGCCUUCCAGGAGAUUUUUAUUGAUGGCCUCAAGUUUUGGAGUGGUUCUUCCUUUAGCUUAGAAUGUAUUGUGGAAUUUUUUGUUUUCUACCUUUAGCAAAAAAGGGAAGGAGGAGAAAACACCAUUGCAAAUGAAGGAUGCUAACAAGAAAUGAGAAGAAACUACAAGCAAGAUAGGAUCAUCUGAUCACUACCUGGUUUUAUUUUUUUAUCGAUAUUGGUGUUCAAUCAGCCAAAAAAAAGUCGAACUCAUUUCGUAUAGAAAGAAAGAUGUGGGUUUUCAGUUAUGGAUCAAAAUGAAAUCCCCGAAAACCAGGGCUGGAGUAUUAAACUAUUUUUCUUUCAAUAAAGGACAUCCAUUGGGUGGAAUAUUAAAAUAUAUUCUAUAUUGCAUUCAUUUUCAGUACUAG
RNAcentral lists this long non-coding RNA (650 nucleotides) under Olea europaea subsp. europaea. Lineage: Eukaryota; Viridiplantae; Streptophyta; Magnoliopsida; Lamiales; Oleaceae. The record is from RNAcentral.